GAUGAACGCUGGCGGCGUGCCUAAUACAUGCAAGUCGAGCGAACAGACGAGGAGCUUGCUCCUCUGACGUUAGCGGCGGACGGGUGAGUAACACGUGGAUAACCUACCUAUAAGACUGGGAUAACUUCGGGAAACCGGAGCUAAUACCGGAUAAUAUAUUGAACCGCAUGGUUCAAUAGUGAAAGACGGUUUUGCUGUCACUUAUAGAUGGAUCCGCGCCGCAUUAGCUAGUUGGUAAGGUAACGGCUUACCAAGGGAACGAUGCGUAGCCGACCUGUGAGGGUGAUCGGCCACACUGGAGCUGAGACACGGUCCAGACUCCUACGGGAGGCAGCAGUAGGGAAUCUUCCGCAAUGGGCGAAAGCCUGACGGAGCAACGCCGCGCGAGUGAUGAAGGUCUUCGGAUCGUAAAACUCUGUUAUUAGGGAAGAACAAAUGUGUAAGUAACUAUGCACGUCUUGACGGUACCUAAUCAGAAAGCCACGGCUAACUACGUG
This 497-nucleotide ribosomal RNA is filed under the name uncultured bacterium. RNAcentral describes it as "partial 16S ribosomal RNA". It matches the Rfam family "Bacterial small subunit ribosomal RNA", at positions 28 to 507 of the family's 1533-position model. The record is from RNAcentral.